GGAAAUCUUUGACUAUCUCCAUGUUCCUGGUCAUGCGGUUCUUCAUCGUGGUCGUCAUCGACAUGGUGCUCGAGCUACAACAUCUGGGCGUCGGGUCAACUUACUUUUGUGGUGCAGAAGUUCUGUGUUUAGAGAGUUGAAGAAAUACCAGAAAGAUUUCUCCAGCUGGUGUGAAGAAUGCCAACGCGAGAAAAGAGAAAGGCAACUCCUAUCGAUUGAUGCAACGAAGCAGGAGUUACUUAGAAGGGAAGUAAAAUCUCCUCCUUGAGCCUACAAGGUGAAAACUAUUGUUGAGGAGCUGUAAAUUUAACCAAAUAUGAAGGAUGUUCAUCAAAAUGAAGUCUCUUCUGUCUUAAAAGCUUUCGCCAUGUGCAGGUAAUGAGUGUUGUCCUGUAUUAUUUACUGUGCUGCAUUACAUUUUGCAGG
This 426-nucleotide unclassified non-coding RNA is filed under the name Hevea brasiliensis (rubber tree). The record is from RNAcentral. Lineage: Eukaryota; Viridiplantae; Streptophyta; Magnoliopsida; Malpighiales; Euphorbiaceae.